GACGUAGGGUGCGAGCGUUGUCCGGAUUUAUUGGGCGUAAAGAGCUCGUAGGCGGCUUGUCGCGUCGUCCGUGAAAACUUGGGGCUCAACCCCAAGCUUGCGGUCGAUACGGGCAGGCUAGAGUUCGGUAGGGGAGACUGGAAUUCCUGGUGUAGCGGUGAAAUGCGCAGAUAUCAGGAGGAACACCGGUGGCGAAGGCGGGUCUCUGGGCCGAUACUGACGCUGAGGAGCGAAAGCGUGGGGAGCGAACAGG
RNAcentral lists this ribosomal RNA (253 nucleotides) under uncultured bacterium. RNAcentral describes it as "partial 16S ribosomal RNA". It matches the Rfam family "Bacterial small subunit ribosomal RNA", at positions 524 to 776 of the family's 1533-position model. The record is from RNAcentral.